CACGUAGGGCGCGAGCGUUGUCUGGAAUUAUUGGGCGUAAAGAGCUCGUAGGCGGCCUGUUGCGUCCGCUGUGAAAGCCCGGGGCUUAACCCCGGGUCUGCAGUGGAUACGGGCAGGCUAGAGGUAGGUAGGGGAGAAUGGAAUUCCCGGUGUAGCGGUGAAAUGCGCAGAUAUCGGGAGGAACACCGGUGGCGAAGGCGGUUCUCUGGGCCUUACCUGACGCUGAGGAGCGAAAGCGUGGGGAGCGAACAGG
RNAcentral lists this ribosomal RNA (253 nucleotides) under uncultured bacterium. RNAcentral describes it as "partial 16S ribosomal RNA". It matches the Rfam family "Bacterial small subunit ribosomal RNA", at positions 524 to 776 of the family's 1533-position model. The record is from RNAcentral.